UGAAAGUUUAAAUUUAGCUUAGGGAUUUAGUUUAUAAUUUUUUAAUAUAUGUAAAUUUUUAAUAAUAGAUUUAAGGUUUUCAAUAUUUAGAAUUAAAUAUUAGGUUAUUCUAGAUUUAGUAAUUUAUUUUAGUACUAACAAAACUUGUGCCAGCAGUAGCGGUUAUUCAUGUAGUGCUAUUAAAUUUUAUUGGUUUUAAAUAACUGAUUUUUAAAUAUAUUAUUUUCAUUUGAAGGUGAAAUUUAAAUAAAAAUUAAUAUUUUGUUUGUUAAUUUGUUUAGUUAACUAUUAAACUAGGAUUAGAUACCCUAUUAUUUUAAUUAAAUUUAAAUACCAUAUAAUUAAUAGCUUUGAUCUUUAAAGUAAAAAAUUUUGGCGGUACUUUAGUCUUGUUAGAGGAACCUGUUCUUUAAUCGAUAAUCCACGAUUAUAUGUACUUUUUAUUUUGCUUACAUAUCGUUGUAAAAAGCAUAUUUCAAGAUUAUAUUUUAUUUCAUUAAACUGAAUAAUUUCAGAUCAAGGUGUAGCUUAGGGAAGUAGAAAUGGGUUACUAUUAAAAUAUGGAUUUGAGAUUUUAAAUUUUAAUGAAAUAGGAUUUGAGAGUAAAUUUAUUUAUUUAAUUUGAUUGAUUUUAGCUCUAAAGUAUGUACAUAUCGCCCGUCGCUUUCAUUUAAGUUGAAAUAAGUCGUAACAAAGUAGAUUUACUGGAAAGUGAAUCUUGUUUACA
RNAcentral lists this non-coding RNA (727 nucleotides) under Rhadinosa nigrocyanea. Lineage: Eukaryota; Metazoa; Arthropoda; Insecta; Coleoptera; Chrysomelidae. The record is from RNAcentral.